RNAcentral lists this long non-coding RNA (922 nucleotides) under Homo sapiens (human). RNAcentral's name for it is "HSALNT0157028". The record is from RNAcentral. Lineage: Eukaryota; Metazoa; Chordata; Mammalia; Primates; Hominidae.
GCCACUGGCCCACCCACUGCGCUGCAGUCCACCUGGUGCCUUGUGGGACAGUGUACCAAAGUGCCCUGGACACGAGGGGGCCCUGCGCCCCCCACGCACUGACCCCGCAUCGGAGGCCCUGCGCCCCACACACACUGACCCCGCAUCGGCAUCGGGGGCCCUGCGCCCCCCACGCACUGACCCCGCAUCGGGGGCCCUGGGCUGCAGAACCCAUCGAUGCUGUUGCCGUGCCCCUGGUUCUGGUGACACUGGGACCCUCCAGGUUGGGCUGAGCAGGGCCCCCCCACCAGUGCGUACUCCAGCACCAGCGGGAGUGGGCCUGGGCAGGGGCUGAGGGAGUGACACCCAAGGGGACCUGCCCCAGCCUCCUCCUGUACCCUGGGGGUUCUCGUUUUCCUUGGCUGAGGGAGGUGGCCUCUCCCAGCUGAAACCUGGGGACAGGCUGGGCGUGAGAGCAAAGGGGGGUGAGCAGGACCCCAGGCCUUGGAAAUCCUGAGUCGGGGGAACAGGCUUUGCCUAUGACGUGCCUGGGAGCUGUCUGGGGGCCCUCCUGGGGAGCCAGGCUCACAGGAUGUUGUGUGGGACUCAACGUGGGGCAACGUCCCGGCCAAGAGGGGGAAGGCCAUCACCCCAGGGUCUGUGGGAGGCACAUGCAGGCCAAGCUCUCGCCCACCCGGCGUGCCGAUCCGCUGCAGCCAGGGUCCCUCAGCCUUGGCCAGAACCUGAAGUCCGACCGCUAUCCCUGGGGCUCCCCAGCCAGGCAGGCACCCCCCGCUUACAGGCCCAGGAGCCAAAACGGAGUCAAGCGCUCGGUGCGGGGACCAGCCGGGGGCAGGCCUGGGGAGCCCAUCUGGCAAGGGCGGCAGGAAGGCGCCCACUCCGGGACUGUGCCUGGGCCUGCCGGGGGUCUCCAGCCAGAGAG